RNAcentral lists this long non-coding RNA (2901 nucleotides) under Lactuca sativa (garden lettuce). Its description in RNAcentral is "long non-coding RNA (LSAT_LNC009424)". The record is from RNAcentral. Lineage: Eukaryota; Viridiplantae; Streptophyta; Magnoliopsida; Asterales; Asteraceae.
UAUAUAUAUAUAUAUAUAUAUAUAUAUCUAAAUAUUAUUAAAAAAGAAACCUUAUGACAUCAUUUAAAACAUUAUGGAUCGUUGAUUGUGUUUUCUUUAUAGGUUUUACACUCUUGAAUCAAUUUGCUUACGUCACCUUGAUCAAACAAGAAGUCAAUCCGUUAUAUUAGGAAAUUAAAUGUAGGAAUUGAAUGAAAAUAAUACUUGAAUUCUUUCCAAACUUACGACUACAAAAUUGGUUCCUUAUUAAUGUAAACCUUAAAUUUAGGCUCUAUUUCCAUUCAAAAUUGCUUUUCAAAUAUAUUAUAUGUUGAAAUCUCGGAAACUAUUAAUUUCAAAUUUCAAAAGUUUCGGAUAUUUUUAUGAACCAAUACACUUUCAAGCAUGAUAUCUUCUAUUUUAAGUUUAAAUGAGAUUUCAAUUGAUUACCUGCUAAUUUUCUUCAUAUUGACUUGUAUAUAUAUUUCAAACCUUUUUAAUAAUCGAUUUACACAAACAUUAUGUUAUAAUUUCCACGUAGGAAACAAAUAUCUAAAUAUUAUUAGAAGAGAUACCUUAUGCAUUAUCUAAAACAAUCUGGAUCGUUGAUUGUGUUUUCUUUAUAGGUUUUACACCCUUAGAUCAAUUUGCUUACGUCACCUUGAUCAAACAAGAAGUCAAUCCGUUAUAUUAGGAAAUUAAAUGUAGGAAUUGAAUGAAAAUGAUACUUGAAUUCUUACCAAACUUACAACUACAAAAUUGGUUCCUUAUUUAUGUAAACCUUAAAUUUAUGCUCUAUUUCUAUUCAAAAUUGCUUUCCAAAUACAUUAUAUUUUGAAAUGUCGGAAACUAUUAAUUUCAAAUUUGAAAAGUUUCAGAUAUUUUUAUGAACCAAUAGACUUUCAAGCAUGAUAUCUUUUAUUUUAAGUUCAAAUGAGAUUUCAAUUGAUUACCUGCUAAUUUUCAUCAUAUUGACUUGUAUAUAUAUUUCAAACCUUUUUAAUAAUCGAUUUACACAAACAUUAUGUCAUAAUUUCCACGUAGAAAACAAAUCUCUAAAUAUUAUUAAAAGAGAAACCUUAUGACAUCAUCUAAAACAAUCUGGAUCGUUGAUUGUGUAUCUAUGCUCUAACACAGAAUUCAUUUUUGCAAAAUGUUCAGAAUUUGUAAUCAAUAGAAUAGACAAAAAUAGCACAUGCAUUAAUGAUUUAAUACAUACUCACAGUGUUCUUGAAUUCGUAAUAAAAGUUCAGAGUCUCUCGAUUUAGUUAAUGCCUUCUGCUUCUGCGUCGAGAGGAUAAUUGAAAUGACAGCUUCAUAUAGCUUUGUAGAAAUAGAACCAGAAUGUGAGGCGCGUGUAUUUGACGAAGGUGGUGUGUGAUUGGGGAGGAGAAUAUUUGAUUGUCAGAAUGGGAUUUGCUAUUGUGCGCCUGAAUCGAAUGAUGAUGUUAAUUACGGAUGCAUCGUUACAGAAAUAGCCCCUCACAUUUUUUGUUUUAAUCCUAUAAUAUUUAAAUUACAAAAAACGGUCCUUCAAUUCUUUUUUUUAUUGACAAAUCAUGUGAAUUUUUCUUUUUUAAACUUUUAAGACCAAAUUGCAAAUUUGGUCCUUCUGGUUUAUUUCCAAAAUAUUUUGGGAUUAUACCGUCGGCCCCAUAUAAAAAAUUUAUUUUAGCUUUGGUCUAUGAAAGAUUUGAAAUAAGUUAUAGUGACUAUUUUAUCCUUUAUAUAUAUAUAUAUAUAUAUAUAUAUAUAUAUAUAUUAUUCUUUUGAGUUAUUUAACUAAUUUUUAAAUGAAAAAUAAAAUGAAAAUUCCAAACCCACUCGCUCAUUCCCAACGUGUCUCUCUCUCUCUCUCUAUAUAUAUAUAUAUAUAUACAUAUAUAUAUAUAUAUAUCUAAAUAUUAUUAAAAAAGAAACCUUAUGACAUCAUUUAAAACAUUAUGGAUCGUUGAUUGUGUUUUCUUUAUAGGUUUUACACUCUUGAAUCAAUUUGCUUACGUCACCUUGAUCAAACAAGAAGUCAAUCCGUUAUAUUAGGAAAUUAAAUGUAGGAAUUGAAUGAAAAUAAUACUUGAAUUCUUUCCAAACUUACGACUACAAAAUUGGUUCCUUAUUAAUGUAAACCUUAAAUUUAGGCUCUAUUUCCAUUCAAAAUUGCUUUUCAAAUAUAUUAUAUGUUGAAAUCUCGGAAACUAUUAAUUUCAAAUUUCAAAAGUUUCGGAUAUUUUUAUGAACCAAUACACUUUCAAGCAUGAUAUCUUCUAUUUUAAGUUUAAAUGAGAUUUCAAUUGAUUACCUGCUAAUUUUCAUCAUAUUGACUUGUAUAUAUAUUUCAAACCUUUUUAAUAAUCGAUUUACACAAACAUUAUGUCAUAAUUCCCACGUAGAAAACAAAUCUCUAAAUAUUAUUAAAAGAGAAACCUUAUGACAUCAUCUAAAACAAUCUGGAUCGUUGAUUGUGUUUUCUUUAUAGGUUUUACACCCUUAGAUCAAUUUGCUUACGUCACCUUGAUCAAACAAGAAGUCAAUCCGUUAUAUUAGGAAAUUAAAUGUAGGAAUUGAAUGAAAAUGAUACUUGAAUUCUUUCCAAACUUACAACUACAAAAUUGGUUCCUUAUUAAUGUAAACCUUAAAUUUAGGCUCUAUUUCCAUUCAAAAUUGCUUUUCAAAUACAUUAUAUGUUGAAAUCUCGGAAACUAUUAAUUUCAAAUUUCAAAAGUUUCGGAUAUUUUUAUGAACCAAUACACUUUCAAGCAUGAUAUCUUCUAUUUUAAGUUUAAAUGAGAUUUCAAUUGAUUACCUGCUAAUUUUCUUCAUAUUGACUUGUAUAUAUAUUUCAAACCUUUUUAAUAAUCGAUUUACACAAACAUUAUGUUAUAAUUUCCACGUAGAAAACAAAUCUAUAAAUAUUAUUAAAAG